Molecule: ribosomal RNA, 281 nt
Filed under: Bacillus subtilis
Lineage: Bacteria; Bacillati; Bacillota; Bacilli; Caryophanales; Bacillaceae
Description: partial 16S rRNA. Bacterial SSU
Rfam family: Bacterial small subunit ribosomal RNA
Source: RNAcentral
CUGGCUCAGGACGAACGCUGGCGGCGUGCCUAAUACAUGCAAGUCGAGCGGACAGAUGGGAGCUUGCUCCCUGAUGUUAGCGGCGGACGGGUGAGUAACACGUGGGUAACCUGCCUGUAAGACUGGGAUAACUCCGGGAAACCGGGGCUAAUACCGGAUGGUUGUUUGAACCGCAUGGUUCAAACAUAAAAGGUGGCUUCGGCUACCACUUACAGAUGGACCCGCGGCGCAUUAGCUAGUUGGUGAGGUAAUGGCUCACCAAGGCAACGAUGCGUAGCCGA